Molecule: long non-coding RNA, 905 nt
Organism: Mercenaria mercenaria
Lineage: Eukaryota; Metazoa; Mollusca; Bivalvia; Venerida; Veneridae
Exons: 5
Source: RefSeq, a predicted model, not a curated record
GAAUACCGCCGGAAGUAGAACAUUUGUGUCAACACCGGUUUCGUAUUUUCACGUGAAAACGGCCGAAAACUGAGAGGUUAUCAACAAAUUAUAAGUUUACGGGUACCAUGAGGAUUUUUCAUGCAUUUAAACGACAGAAGUACAAGCGAACAGAUGACACAUUAAAGUGGCUGCAGAAGCUUGAAAAAUUAGAUAGAGCAUGGCCAGUCAAAACAGUGGGAUAAUACUUCUAUGGUGUCCAACAUGUCUAGUCAGGUUGACAGAAGUGAAAGAUGGUCUGAUGGUACAAUGAUGUACAAAUGAUACGCUUUAACAAGUUUAACAUGACAAGGUGUAAAAUGUUCUGUGGAUUCAUAUGAUGAGAAUGCCAGUGUUGAUCUGUAUGACUUAAUUAAACACAGAUAUUGAUACCUUCAGAUAUAUACCUGUGAAAUCUUCAGUGUCACCGUUCAGCUAUUGUUCAAGAUCAGUGUCUGCAGCUUGCACAGUUUAGUAUAGAGGAGCCUUCUAAAUAAACUUUGUUACAUAUUUGCUGUUAUUGUAGGACACACCUGUAGAGAGCAGCAAGUCCUGUCCAGCCGUGCAUGUAAAUGUGAUUCAGAAACUUUGAGAAUAUGUAAACAUUACACUGUUAUAAUUUUCAAAAUACUGUGUCUUGUAGUGUAUCAGUACUGUUUUGUCUCAGCUUAUAGCACAGUAUGUUCACAAAUCAAACUUAAGACCAUAGUGAUCAGUAUUAUUAAAAUCAUUAAUUAUUUGUAUGGUGACAAAAUUUAAUUUCAUGCAAUGCCACAGUAAAACGUUUGAUAAUUUUCGCUUUUAAAGUUGUAAGUUUAAGGUUGGCAUAAAUUGUUGUUUUUUUUUCUUUCAUAAAUCUAAAAAGUGAUUGGUCAUUAUAACUGCAA